UGCCGAACAAGUGUAGAUCUUUCACUAAAGGC
Molecule: non-coding RNA, 32 nt
Filed under: Homo sapiens (human)
Lineage: Eukaryota; Metazoa; Chordata; Mammalia; Primates; Hominidae
Source: RNAcentral